GCAAUGAUGAAACCAUGUGGCAUUGAUGUGUUUGAACUGAUGUUGCCCAUUUUGUCCUCUAAGAAGUUCUGAGCUU
Molecule: small nucleolar RNA, 76 nt
Organism: Megalops cyprinoides (Indo-Pacific tarpon)
Lineage: Eukaryota; Metazoa; Chordata; Actinopteri; Elopiformes; Megalopidae
Product: small nucleolar RNA SNORD61
Exons: 1
Source: RefSeq, a predicted model, not a curated record